Molecule: ribosomal RNA, 432 nt
Filed under: Limosilactobacillus fermentum
Lineage: Bacteria; Bacillati; Bacillota; Bacilli; Lactobacillales; Lactobacillaceae
Description: bacterial SSU rRNA
Rfam family: Bacterial small subunit ribosomal RNA
Source: RNAcentral
GCUACGGGAAGCAGCAGUAGGGAAUCUUCCACAAUGGGCGCAAGCCUGAUGGAGCAACACCGCGUGAGUGAAGAAGGGUUUCGGCUCGUAAAGCUCUGUUGUUAAAGAAGAACACGUAUGAGAGUAACUGUUCAUACGUUGACGGUAUUUAACCAGAAAGUCACGGCUAACUACGUGCCAGCAGCCGCGGUAAUACGUAGGUGGCAAGCGUUAUCCGGAUUUAUUGGGCGUAAAGAGAGUGCAGGCGGUUUUCUAAGUCUGAUGUGAAAGCCUUCGGCUUAACCGGAGAAGUGCAUCGGAAACUGGAUAACUUGAGUGCAGAAGAGGGUAGUGGAACUCCAUGUGUAGCGGUGGAAUGCGUAGAUAUAUGGAAGAACACCAGUGGCGAAGGCGGCUACCUGGUCUGCAACUGACGCUAGACUCGAAAGCAAC